UCAAGUACUUGAUCGAUAACACGUCUCAUCGUGUUAUGAAAUCCAUGGAACUUAAAAUAAUAAUAUCAAUUUAAAAAAAAACGUAUGAGCUUAGAAAACAGCUGUUAAAAAAAAUGUUAUUUUUCCUCCGACUGUACGGACUAAGGAGGAAACGGAGUAAACAGAGAGCUUCGCCGGAAUCAUAAGGGGGAAAAUGGGGGUGAUUUUGAGCGCGUUUGAUGUAUGAGAGACAGGAUGUUGCUCAUCCACAAGCUCUGGUGCUGGUCCUAUUUUCUUGUUUAUAGGUAGACUGUGAAGACUUGCUAUGGACAACCGCUUGUUCUCCGCGCUUAGAGUCACUUGAUGAACAACACUCUUGUACUGUCCAUUGCUCAUCACUUCUAUUUGAUCUCCCAAUUGGACUAGUAAGGCGCCUUCAACAAAUGGAACAGAGAGCCAUUUCUUCUUGUUGUCCUGUAGCUGUAGCCCUGGGCCACUCUGAAGCAGGACAGUUAGCGUUCCGUAAUCUGAGUGUGGUGGCAUACCUAAUGUGAGGUCUGGUUCAGGACAAGCUGGAUAGCAAUUAAUGGCCAUUAGUUGAUUGCCUUCUUCAAUUUCCUUCUGCGCCUUGUAUAGUAUCAAGUGUUAGAGACCUUUGAGAAGCAUGGUGCAAGGUGGAAAGGUCUAUAAUGGGAAGGGUUGUGGUGAGGUCAAGUGUAAGGUUCGGACGUUGCGAUGGAGGAAGAACAUAGCGUUGAGGCACAUGAGGUACCCUCAUCUUGGAAAGAAGAAUAUAGCAAGAGAAGCCACAGAAGAACUUUAAGCAUGAGGGCGUGAAAAGGACAAAGGUGAACGCGGGACCCACGCGAAAACGCUAUGAUGUUAAACCUGAAUGGGUACCGAAAACAAAGUCGCUGUACAUUUGGGGGCUGUGACACCCACACACGCAAUUAUGGAGCUUGAAGAAGUUUUUAGUAUAUCACCAUAUUUAUAAACGUCAGACAUGAGGCAUUUGAUCAUGUGGAAACUAGUGGAAGAAUUAAAAUAUUUAUAUAUUUUUUAACUUAUUCUGGUAUGAUAUACUGAUGUAGUUAACAUUGAAUUUGUAUCAAUUCUAUGCUGCUGCGUCUACCUUGUUUGAAUAUGAA
Molecule: long non-coding RNA, 1127 nt
Organism: Gossypium arboreum
Lineage: Eukaryota; Viridiplantae; Streptophyta; Magnoliopsida; Malvales; Malvaceae
Exons: 4
Source: RefSeq, a predicted model, not a curated record